This 464-nucleotide ribosomal RNA is filed under the name uncultured bacterium. RNAcentral's name for it is "partial 16S ribosomal RNA". It matches the Rfam family "Bacterial small subunit ribosomal RNA", at positions 28 to 506 of the family's 1533-position model. The record is from RNAcentral.
GACGAACGCUGGCGGCGUGCUUAACACAUGCAAGUCGAACGCUGAACCCGCUUCGGUGGGGGAUGAGUGGCGAACGGGUGAGUAACACGUGGGCAACCUGCCCCCGGCUCUGGGAUAACUCCAAGAAAUUGGGGCUAAUACCGGAUGUGACCGCUGGCUGCAUGGUCUGGUGGUGGAAAGGGUUUCCGGCUGGGGAUGGGCCCGCGGCCGGUCAGCUUGUUGGUGGGGUAGUGGCCUACCAAGGCGACGACGGGUAGCCGGCCUGAGAGGGUGACCGGCCCCAUGGGGCUGGGGAAAGGGCCCAGGCUCGUAGGGGGGGAAGGAGGGGGGAAUAUGGGGCAGGGGGCGGAAGCCUGACGAAGCGCGGCCGGGGGGGGGAGGAGGGCCUUGGGGUGGAAAACCUGUUUCAGAAGGGAAGAAGGGCAAGUGAGGGUACCGGCAAAAGAAGCACCGGCCAACUGGGG